RNAcentral lists this ribosomal RNA (223 nucleotides) under uncultured bacterium. RNAcentral describes it as "partial 16S ribosomal RNA". It matches the Rfam family "Bacterial small subunit ribosomal RNA", at positions 328 to 539 of the family's 1533-position model. The record is from RNAcentral.
ACGCUCGACACCUACGGGGGGCAGCAGUAGGGAAUCUUCCGCAAUGGACGAAAGUCUGACGGAGCAACGCCGCGUGAACGAUGAAGGUUUUCGGAUCGUAAAGUUCUGUUGUUAGGGAAGAACAAACUUCGUUUGAAUAAGGCGGAGUCAUGACGGUACCUAACGAGAAAGCCACGGCUAACUACGUGCCACAGCCGCGGUAAUCUGAGCGGGCUGGCAAGGC